GAUGAAGAACGCAGCGAAAUGCGAUACGUAGUGUGAAUUGCAGAAUUCAGUGAAUCAUCGAAUCUUUGAACGCACAUUGCACCUCUCGGUAUUCCGGGAGGUAUGCCUGUUCGAGCGUCAUUUGUACCCUCAAGCUCUGCUUGGUGUUGGGUGUUUGUUCCGCCUCUGUGUGUGAACUCGCCUCAAAACAAUUGGCAGCCGGCGUACUUGUUUCGGAGCGCAGCACAUUUUGCGAUCCAGAUCAACGUACAGCGGCAUCCAAGAAGCCUUAUUUAACGCUCUUGACCUCGGAUCAGGUAGGGAUACCCGCUGAACUUAAGCAUAUCAAUGAGCGGAGGA
This 339-nucleotide unclassified non-coding RNA is filed under the name soil metagenome. RNAcentral describes it as "partial contains 5.8S ribosomal RNA, internal transcribed spacer 2, and large subunit ribosomal RNA". The stretch from base 1 to 120 matches the Rfam family "5.8S ribosomal RNA", at positions 35 to 154 of the family's 154-position model. The record is from RNAcentral.